GCGCGUUUAGCUCAGCGGGAGAGCGCUUCCCUGACACGGAAGAGGUCACUGGUUCGAUCCCAGUAUCGCGCAC
RNAcentral lists this transfer RNA (73 nucleotides) under Corynebacterium variabile. RNAcentral's name for it is "tRNA-Val(gac)". It matches the Rfam family "tRNA". From Rfam's summary of the family: Transfer RNA (tRNA) molecules are approximately 80 nucleotides in length. Their secondary structure includes four short double-helical elements and three loops (D, anti-codon, and T loops). RNAcentral also lists the same sequence under 10 other names. The record is from RNAcentral. Lineage: Bacteria; Bacillati; Actinomycetota; Actinomycetes; Mycobacteriales; Corynebacteriaceae.